GAUGAACGCUGGCGGCGUGCCUAAUACAUGCAAGUCGAGCGAACGGACGAGAAGCUUGCUUCUCUGAUGUUAGCGGCGGACGGGUGAGUAACACGUGGAUAACCUACCUAUAAGACUGGGAUAACUUCGGGAGACCGGAACUAAUACCGGAUGAUAUUUUGAACCGCAUGGUUCAAAAGUGAAAGACGGUCUUGCUGUCACUUAUAGAUGGAUCCGCGCUGCAUUAGCUAGUUGGUAAGGUAACGGCUUACCAAGGCAACGAUGCAUAGCCGACCUGAGAGGGUGAUCGGCCACACUGGAACUGAGACACGGUCCAGACUCCUACGGGAGGCAGCAGUAGGGAAUCUUCCGCAAUGGGCGAAAGCCUGACGGAGCAACGCCGCGUGAGUGAUGAAGGUCUUCGGAUCGUAAAACUCUGUUAUUAGGGAAGAACAUAUGUGUAAGUAACUGUGCACAUCUUGACGGUACCUAAUCAGAAAGCCACGGCUAACUACGUG
This 497-nucleotide ribosomal RNA is filed under the name uncultured bacterium. RNAcentral describes it as "partial 16S ribosomal RNA". It matches the Rfam family "Bacterial small subunit ribosomal RNA", at positions 28 to 507 of the family's 1533-position model. The record is from RNAcentral.